AUGUCACCAGCUUCCCAGGACGAGGUAGAGAUGGAUUCCCUCAAAGUACCUCUUCACAGCCAUUUCCAGGGCAGAUGUCUGCUCUCCCAUCACCUGCACCAAACAGGGGUCCAGGUCUUCCAGCUGCUGAUGGAGUCCAGAGCAGAGCUUGUCCAGGAGGGUGGAGUCCCAGGCAGCAGAGGAGCGCUCCGUGUGGAAGAGGAGGAAGGUCUGCUGGAGCAUCUCGUGGAGGACAGAGAUGGCCUGGGUCUUCUGCAGCUGGCUGCCUUCCACCAUCUCCUGGGGGAACCCGAAGUCUUUUCUGUCCUUCAGACAGAAGGNNNNNNNNNNNNUUGUCAUAGAAGUAUAAUUUCCCCAGUGAAUUUAGAUAUAUCCAUGCAAAUGGAUAUUUAUCAAUCUAAUUAGAAACAUUCUGUCUCAGAGUCAGAAGUGAUGUUGGUGUAUAAACACAUCCUCUUUGUGUGUGUGAAUCCCUUUCCUUCAUAAAUACUGCUCUUCUCCAUUGUAGGAGCAAAUUUCUACCUCUGAUCUUAGGCUCCAUUUUUCCCACCUUCUUUACUUAGGAGACCAAAUCUCUCAGCUCUAUGGUGUCUGUCUGUAUUCACUUAGGGAUUUACGAGACCACCUUUGGAAAUUAACGGCUUUGAAAUGGAAGAGGGGUUUUAUUUACUAUUUGAUUAACAGAAGAGGCCAGUGACUAUGAGUGAAUGAUAUUCUUUUAUGUUUCUCUUGCUUCUAGAACAGAUCCAUGCAGAUCCAUGUGGUUCUGCUUCAGGGGACCAGGAGGUCAGGACAAUUACAGACAUUGUCCUUUCUUUCCACCAUGUUCUUCCUGGGGACUUAUAGUCCUCCACAGCCUGGGCCAAUAUCCCUGACAGGAAUCCUGGUUCUUUUCAGGAGAAUAUGGGUGUGGAGAUUCUAAUUCCAAGAUGAUUGUGUUUUCCUGGCAGCAUCUCCCUCACAAGGAGGGUGUCACAUCUAGUAACACCCUGUCCUCUAGAGGAACAGAGUCCCCAUCCUAACCUCCUGCACCCACUCCCUGAAGCAGACUCACCACAUCCUGAGAACUUUAAAACCUCCUCACUGUGGAGGGCCCUAUUUAUUUGUUGGGAAGAUAAUUCUUCUCCCAGGAUCUCUGCCUUUGCCCCCAGAGUGUUUGCUUGAAGGACCCUAGUCCUCAGUGGUGACCUCCUCCUCUCCUGACAUGUGUCCUCAGGUAUCAAAGGUGCCAGCAGCCCUCAGAUGCUGAGAGCAAAGGUGUGUCCUGUCUUAGGAUGUGGAGAAGUUAUCCGGUUGAAAUCACUUCAGUUUGACUUGACAGAUAAUUUACAUUUUGUCAAUACAAAUUUGUUGGUCAACUCUUGUCCUUAAACAAAUGAAUGCUUGUUAUACUCAAAGUUUCUCA
Molecule: long non-coding RNA, 1405 nt
Filed under: Sus scrofa (pig)
Lineage: Eukaryota; Metazoa; Chordata; Mammalia; Artiodactyla; Suidae
Description: lncRNA (ENSSSCG00065018251.1)
Source: RNAcentral